Molecule: transfer RNA, 73 nt
Filed under: Ursus americanus (American black bear)
Lineage: Eukaryota; Metazoa; Chordata; Mammalia; Carnivora; Ursidae
Also listed under: 2 other names
Rfam family: tRNA
About the family: Transfer RNA (tRNA) molecules are approximately 80 nucleotides in length. Their secondary structure includes four short double-helical elements and three loops (D, anti-codon, and T loops).
Source: Rfam by way of RNAcentral
GCCCAGCUGGCUCAGUCAGUAGAGCCUGGGACUCUUGAUCUUGGGGUUGUGGGUUUGAGCCCCACGUUGGGUG